Molecule: ribosomal RNA, 447 nt
Filed under: uncultured bacterium
Lineage: Bacteria
Description: bacterial SSU rRNA
Rfam family: Bacterial small subunit ribosomal RNA
Source: RNAcentral
GCCAGACUCCUACGGGAGGCAGCAGUAGGGAAUCUUUCACAAUGGGCGAAAGCCUGAUGGAGCAACGCCGCGUGAAGGAAGAAGGCUUUCGGGUUGUAAACUUCUUUUGACUGGGAAGAGUAGAAGACGGUACCUGUCGAAUAAGCCACGGCUAACUACGUGCCAGCAGCCGCGGUAAUACGGAGGGUGCAAGCGUUACUCGGAAUCACUGGGCGUAAAGAGCGCGUAGGCGGGAUAGCAAGUCAGAUGUGAAAUCCUAUGGCUUAACCAUAGAACUGCAUUUGAAACUGUUAUUCUAGAGUAUGGGAGAGGUAGGUGGAAUUCUUGGUGUAGGGGUAAAAUCCGUAGAGAUCAAGAGGAAUACUCAUUGCGAAGGCGACCUGCUAGAACAUAACUGACGCUGAUGCGCGAAAGCGUGGGGAGCAAACAGGAUUAGAUACCCCAGUA